AUUCAGUCUGGGGCGGUGGACGUGCGGGCCGGAAGACCAGGAAGGGCAUCUCCGGAAGGAGGCCGUCCGGCUGCACGAGGAUCCGCCGCACCCGACGCAUUUGUCUCCCGCUCGAAGGACGCCGCAGCCGGUUGGGUAGCUGCAAGCGUGACGGCCUGAGGGGCGGACGACGGCAGGUGGCCGGUGGCGCCUUCGGGCGUCCGCCGGUUGUUAGCCGGUCCGUCAGUGGCUCGUCACCCGACCGAGGUGUCACAAGGCCAUUCGUGGCCUCUCCGCCUCCUCCCCUGACGGGGAAGUCGGGACAGGGUGUCGCAGGUGCAAGUCCGUCGUCCCGUUCGCACUCCCUCGGAGUGGUCGGGCGCACGGAAGGCACCGUUGGCGGCAACGGGUCCGUAGGAGGUCGGAGGCUAGCGGCGAGUAGGUCGGUCACCCACCCGACCCGGUCUUGAAACACGGACCAAGGAGUCUAACAUGUGCGCGAGUCAAUGGGUCUUGAACAGGCCCAGGGGCGCAAUGAAAGCAAAGGUCGGCUGAAGCCGGCCGAGUUGGGAUCCCCGCUCCCUUAACAAGGGCGGGGCGCACCAACGACCCGUCCUAUCCGACUCGUCGGUUGGGCGGAGUGUGAGCGUACACGUUGGGACCCGAAAGAUGGUGAACUAUGCCUCGGACAGGACGAGGCCAGAGGAAACUCUGGUGGAGGUCCGCAGCGGUUCUGACGUGCAAAU
RNAcentral lists this ribosomal RNA (725 nucleotides) under Pimus sp. 2 JCS-2006. RNAcentral describes it as "eukaryotic LSU rRNA". The stretch from base 457 to 725 matches the Rfam family "Eukaryotic large subunit ribosomal RNA", at positions 665 to 898 of the family's 3401-position model. The record is from RNAcentral. Lineage: Eukaryota; Metazoa; Arthropoda; Arachnida; Araneae; Amaurobiidae.